AGCAGCCGCGGUAAUUCCAGCUCCAAUAGCGUAUAUUAAAGUUGUUGCAGUUAAAAAGCUCGUAGUUGAAUUUCGGGAUCAAUACGUCGGUCGUGCUUCGGUACGUACUGGCAUCAUUGAUUUCUCCCUUCUGACGAACCAUGAUGUCAUUAACUUGGUGUCAUGGGAAAUCAGGACUGUUACUUUGAAAAAAUUAGAGUGUUUAAAGCAGGCUCACGCUUGAAUACAUUAGCAUGGAAUAAUGAAAUAGGACGUUCGAACCUAUUUUGUUGGUUUCUAGGAUCAACGUAAUGAUUAAUAGGGAUAGUUGGGGGCAUUAGUAUUCAAUUGUCAGAGGUGAAAUUCUUGGAUUUAUUGAAGACUAACUACUGCGAAAGCAUUUGCCAAGGAUGUUUUCAUUAAUCAAGAACGAAAGUUAGGGGAUCGAAGACGAUCAGAUACCGUCGUAGUCUUAACCAUAAACUAUGCCGACUAGGGAUCGGAUGAUGUUAAUUUUUUAAUGACUCAUUCGGCGCCUUACG
Molecule: ribosomal RNA, 521 nt
Filed under: uncultured Glomeraceae
Lineage: Eukaryota; Fungi; Glomeromycota; Glomeromycetes; Glomerales; Glomeraceae
Description: SSU rRNA
Rfam family: Eukaryotic small subunit ribosomal RNA
Source: RNAcentral